This 87-nucleotide small RNA is filed under the name Chryseobacterium koreense CCUG 49689. Its description in RNAcentral is "Flavo-1 RNA". It matches the Rfam family "Flavo-1 RNA". The record is from Rfam by way of RNAcentral. Lineage: Bacteria; Pseudomonadati; Bacteroidota; Flavobacteriia; Flavobacteriales; Weeksellaceae.
AACUAGCCCUAAUUGGAGCGGCAUCCUUUUUUGGUGGCUGAGGUUACGAAGCCACCAAAAAAGAUACAGCGGAAAGCAGGUUCCCGG